This is a non-coding RNA of Cinara cedri, 661 nucleotides long. Lineage: Eukaryota; Metazoa; Arthropoda; Insecta; Hemiptera; Aphididae. The record is from the annotation of a GenBank genome assembly.
CCGCGACGACUUGCGGUGUUCGCGUCGCAUUACAAACCCGUGGGGGCGAUGUCUCAACAAUCCCCUUAACACGACACCAAUGAGCCACUCUACACAUUUAAUUUACAAUUGUUUAAAUACAAAUGUAUCGUGACUUUUCCAUUUUAUUUUUUUUACACGCAUAUUACAUAUUGUCUGUAAUCGGUAAUUCGUUCUGGUUAUUAAUUAUUAUAAAUCGCGUGGAUAAAUAAUUUAGUCGACACCGUGAAAAAAGCGUAUUUGGUAUUGGAGGAGGGGUAUUUUCGGGGGCGCUAGUUUUAAACCUGGAGGCGCUCAAGACCGCCGUACAUCUUAUACCCUAGUCGCGCAUACGAUAGAGUGUCGAAAUCGACGUCUGGAAUCGCCUGGAUUCACGAAAUCGCCUUGACGUAAUCGCGUGGAUUUUAGCGGGGUGUCGCGCGUCCCCGAAAACCGUCUGUCGUCGAUCGCAAUAACCUCGAACGUUAUUUUUUCGAGAUUUAUUUCCGUCGGUUUUCUCGCACCGUGUACCGCGAAAACCGGAUAAAACGUUCUUCGGACAAACGCAAUAUUCGUCGAUCGAUUUCGUUCCGGAGAUUUUCGUUGAAACGAUUAAACGAACUAUUAUACUCAGAAGUUUAUCUACUCGACGCCUCUGCACGAU